UUCUAAUAUAUGUCCUUUGGUAUAAAUAUGUACACAAUUUCCUUGAACAUGCAAUCACUGGGUCAUGGUUCAGUUUUUAGUAAAAACUUUCAAAUAGCAUUUAACUGAUUUUGUCAUCAGGAAGACCCCAAGACCUUCCCUGCCACAUGCAUGUACCCACUGACCUUCGUCCUACAUUUUCCUUAAGUUCUUCUGUCUAGCUUAUCUUUUAACUCAGGCAAAAGACCCAACGGGCAAAGCAUGUGGUGAUAGAAACUGAAACUAUGCCCUCAAACAAUAGCAAUUACCCUGAUGAAAAGCUCUGGCCAGUUCAGACCAUCCAGACCAGUUUGAGCUCAAUUACCGACUCACAUCACCACAGAUGGACCAUGGAAUGAUGGACCUAUUACCUCUUUCUCAUUAUAAUGCUAAAAUCUCCACCAGAGUUGGAGCAUGAACCUCAUUAACAUAAUAUACAUGUUUCUGUCAGAGGCAUGGGUGACCUUAUGCUUACUUCUACAAAAAUGACCAAACUCCUUUUCUUGAGUAUUCACCCUAACCCUAAAUAAAAGGAACAUAUUCACCUUUGCUCUGAAAGUCAUGGGCUUUGGAAGUUAAUCCCCUUGAUCUCCUUAUUUACAGCAAAUAAGGUUUCCUUUUUUUGUGACACCUCCACCAGGUGUAGUCUGUACCUGUAAUUCACCAAGGAGCAAAUUCAUGUUAGUAAAUUAUACAAUUAAUAAUAAUUAACUUAAUAUGUUAUAUGAUGAAUAAUUAAAUUAUUAGCUUAUUUAAUUAAUUUACAUUCCUACCAGCUAUUUCUGACAGAGCUGUUUGCCUUACAUUGUCAUCAUUAUUCUCAAUCUUUCCUUUUAAUUUUGCUAUAUUAGUGGCUAUACGUUAGCAUUGUAGUUCAAAGUUAUGUAACUUUGAUGAUUAAUGAUGUGCAAGACACUUUGUCUGAAAUAAAUAUUAGACAUGCAUAUAGAUGGUCAUGUCUCUUCUGCUGUUCUUGAAUGUGAGCAUUGGGUGAACGUCAUCAGUGCUUAAGCUGGGUUUGGGUUUUACUAUUAUGGGGAUCUUCAAUGGGCCAGUAGCUUUCAAUUUCAGCUGAGUUAACUUAUACUGAGGGUAUGGGAUGCUACACUAGAGAGUAUUAUACCCCAGGUUCCUCAUCUAUCAUAAAUUAUGGGGUUUUUUGUGCACCUGAGCCCAGAGGAAAGGACAAGUUUCAUGUACCAUAAGGGCAGAGGAUAAGAAACCUGGGAUGUGGGCGACCACGAGCUAGCUGGAGUAACUGAACCAAACCAGGCCCAGACUUGCAUCCCUCAUUCACUCAAAAGGCUCGAGAGCCUAAAGGGUGAAUAGUUGGUAGACGCUUGAGAAAGGGCUUGAGCAAUGGUUCUCAGGGCUCGCUUGUAUGUGAUCGCCCACAUAACACAAUAGAUAAAACUUAUUCUGACCUGGUCAUAAAUGUAAAUAAGGGUCUGUCUGUCCUUGCUGGUCUGUUUACCAUACCUAAUAUUCCUUUGAAGUAUGUACAUCUGGAGCAACAAGCUUAUCUAUUUACCAAGGUCUUCUGGCACCCAUGAGUCUGUCUUGCAUGCUGAGAAAGGGGAACUUUGGAGAGUUUCACAAACCUGCUAAAAAUAAACACCUUCUUGGCUUUGUUUUGCUCAUGCUAUAAAAUGUUGUAAAACCUUGAGUAAAGCUGGCACUGCUUGGACAUCAUCCACUGUGUCCCUCCUGUCCCCAUCUCUUUACUUUUCUUUUAUUUUCCUCAUCCCCUUAUCCUCAGGACCCUGAUCGUGUUGCCGCAGCACGCGCAACACUGGGAUUAUAUUACUAUAGUUGGACUUCAUGGAAAGUCAAGGAUAAUACAUAAAUAGGCUGCACAGACUAGAUGUAAAUAAAAUUGUCCAUAAAAGCUCUUCAAAGCAGUCAUCCAAUGCACCCUCAAUCCUCCUCUGCCAUUACAUCUAGACUUUUACAAUGAACACCAAACCUCAUCCUCUUCUACUUAUAUCCUUAUUCAAGCCCUUGCUUCACUUUACUCAAAAUGCCUGUGUAGCCCUGAUUUUGAUUACCGUGUAAAUUAGUAUUUCACAUUGCUCUUGAGAACCUUGAGGUUUUGGAAUAUUUCCAUAGGUUUUUUUGAACUGUUUUUCCUCUAACAACUGAUUACAAUACCAUACUGUGCAUAUGUGCAUAUUCAAUUCCAGUUCCCCAAAGUGUAAAAGUGAGAGGGGCUUAUCAGUGAUUAGUGUGCUCAUAUAAUUCUCCCAAGCCAGAAAAAGAAAUCAUGGAUGUAUGAUAAGCAAUAUACAACAGAAUAAAGAAAAGAAUAAAGAAAGAGGGAAAAAUGGAGAAAAAUCAAAAUUCUGAAAACUAUAGGAAUUUUAGUGAACUGAUCUGAAUCUUUAGAAUGUUAGAAGAUGUGGUCUCCAUGAAAUGGAGACACAAAGACAAAAUCAGGCUGUGGUAUAUUUCCCACUAGAUGGGGUUAAAAGUAUAUGGAUCAUGUUAGAAAAGCAUUGCCAAGAACCUAAAAAGUCAGAAAGAUUAAAAUCCCCAUUAGAGGCAGUAAUGACUUCAGCUCACCCCGAUCUUCUCUCGCAGUGCAUCAUUUCAAUCCCAGUUGCUACUGACAUUCCCCAAGAUGAGAGUUUGUUUGACUCAGGUUAUCUUUCUCAGGAGGCCUCACCAUAAAUUCAGGCCAGUGUGUGGAUUAAAUGCUCUUCCCUCAGCCAUUCACCCUCACUUUAGUCACCGUGGCCAGAGAGAGUGGAUUUAUGAGUUUAAAAACCACAUCUACUGCUGCCUCUUCAGAGGAGCUUCCUGUGACUUUAUUCUCUUAAAAAUGGGCUGAGGGAAGACAUUACAUUAGCAUUUGCAAUAACAUCACAAAGCAUUAUUCAUGUAGUAGUUUGUUUAUCCUGGAAAUGUCUAUGAGUACGAGCCUCUUCAGAUUGGAGAGGAAAAAAAAAAUUGAGAACAAAGAGUGAAAACAUUUGCUUUCAAUCAUAUGCUCCUUAGGAGAAAUAUUAAAAAUAAGCAUCCUCUCACUGGGAAAUGACAGUUUAGCCUCAUUUUCUCCUGCUUUUCUUUAUAAGCUAAAUGAGAAUUUAUUACACACAUGAGUGGAUAAAAUAUUUUGAACUAACAUUGCUCAAAGGUUCAACAUAACAGAAUCAAACCUGCUCAUUAGAUUUCACUGUGAUAACUGUAUUGUUAAGGCCUAUCCUCCUUGGAUUAUCAUAUACAGUCCUUAUGACUUAUGUUCAAUAUCCUGACAGACAAAAAGUGACAAAGGAAAAAAAAACUCCUUAGGAUUGAUAAGAAGACAUAUGUUUAUCUGUCAAUGCCUUGUAGCCUUCUUUUCUAUCUUAUAUUUUUUUGUCUUUUUCUUUCUCUUUUUCAAGUGUUCAAGAUACUUACCAAUGGUAUAUAGCUACGGUUCAACUGUUAUAUUGCUCUGCAUAUUCUACAACCACAAUUUAUUCAUUUAUUCCAAUGGUGAUGAACAUUUGGGUUGUGUCCAAUUUCUGGUAAUUCUAAAUGAUGAUUCUAUGUGUUUUCUCAUACAUGGUUUCCAGAUUAGAGAGGCACUUCUUUUUCUAGGGUCUACAGCUGGAAGUAGAAUUGCUAAAUUGUAGGAUAUAUGCAUAUGGUGAACUUUUGUAGAAAUUGCCAACCUGUUCUCCAAAAGUCUUGUCUGAUUUGCCUGGCAUCCAGCAGUGUAUAAGUGUUCUCACAGACCCACAUCCUCACCAAUAUGGAUAUUGGCAGACUUUAGUGUUAGCCAACCAAUCUGUGAUGUAAGAAGGAACAUCACAGAGUGGCUUUGAUUUACUUAUGUCUGGUUACUAAAGAUGUUGAGUGCCUUUUCACACAUUCAUUGUCCAUUUGGCGUCCAUCUUUUGUAAGGUUCCCAUUUAUUCACUUGCUUUUUAAAAUUUAUCUCAUUGAUUUGUGAAGUUCUUCAUAUAUUCUAUAUAAUCACUAUUCUCUAUCUUUUCACAACGUUUAUGGGUUCCUAAUUUUAAUGUAUAUACAAUAUGUUAAAGUUUUCCUUG
This 4055-nucleotide long non-coding RNA is filed under the name Canis lupus familiaris (dog). RNAcentral describes it as "lncRNA (ENSCAFG00845029878.1)". The record is from RNAcentral. Lineage: Eukaryota; Metazoa; Chordata; Mammalia; Carnivora; Canidae.